RNAcentral lists this ribosomal RNA (421 nucleotides) under uncultured soil bacterium. Its description in RNAcentral is "bacterial SSU rRNA". It matches the Rfam family "Bacterial small subunit ribosomal RNA", at positions 26 to 453 of the family's 1533-position model. The record is from RNAcentral.
AGGACGAACGCUGGCGGCGUGCUUAACACAUGCAAGUCGAGCGGUAAGGCCUUUCGGGGUACACGAGCGGCGAACGGGUGAGUAACACGUGGGUGAUCUGCCCUGCACUUCGGGAUAAGCCUGGGAAACUGGGUCUAAUACCGGAUAUGACCUCCUAUCGCAUGGUGGGUGGUGGAAAGAUUUAUCGGUGCAGGAUGGGCCCGCGGCCUAUCAGCUUGUUGGUGGGUAAUGGCCUACCAAGGCGACGACGGGUAGCCGACCUGAGAGGGUGACCGGCCACACUGGGACUGAGACACGGCCCAGACUCCGUACGGGAGGCAGCAGUGGGGAAUAGUGCACAAGUGGGACGAAAGCCUGAUGCAGCGACGCCGCGUGGGGAUGACGGCUUCGGGUGUAACCUCUUCAGUCGAGGACGAGCGAC